Molecule: ribosomal RNA, 468 nt
Filed under: uncultured bacterium
Lineage: Bacteria
Description: partial 16S ribosomal RNA
Rfam family: Bacterial small subunit ribosomal RNA
Source: RNAcentral
GACGAACGCUGGCGGCGGGCUUAACACAUGCAAGUCGAACGGAAAGGCCCUGCUUGUGUGUGGUGCUCGAGGGGCGAACGGGUGAGUAACACGUGAGUAACCUGCCCUUGGCUGUGGGAUAACUUCAGGAAACUGGGGCUAAUACCGGAUAGGAGCUGCUGCUGCAGGGUGGGGUUUGGAAAGUUUCGGCGGUUGGGGAUGGACUCGCGGCUUAUCAGCUUGUUGGUUGGGUAGUUGCUUACCAAGGCUUUGACGGGUAGCCGGCAUGAGAGCGUGAACGGCGACAUUGGGACUGAGAUACGGACCAGAGUGCUACGGGAGGCAGCAGUGGGGAAUAUUGCACAAUGGGCGGAAGUCUGAGGAAGAAACGUCGCGUGUGGGAUGACGGCUUUGGGGUUGUAAACCGCUGUCGGCUGUGACGAAGCGUGAGUGACGGUAAUGGGUAAAGAAGCACCGGCUAACUACGUG